CCACGGCUGUUGCGUGUAAAGAUCUGAAAUUGUAGGACAAAUUUUAUGUCUGUGUUCAUCAGUAUUAUUCAUUUUUGUGUACAUACCGUAAAUUGCGGUACAGAUUUACAGCUAGAUUCUAAAGGGUUCUGACCGGUUGUGACAGUACUGUAUCAACACUGAAAAUUGCUGGGUUACCGACUCGUCGAUCAUUUGCUUUCCAAAAACUAGAGAUCACAGCAUUUCUGAAAAUGGAUCUGUUUACGUCCUCAGGAGUAGUGGGAAACACCUAAUCUGUCGGGUCCGUCAGGUAUGAGUUAAGCUGAGAGCCAAUGCAUGUAGACUUCCAGCGUUGCUUCAUGUACAGGCUUCUCUGCUCCACAACCAGUCAAAUGGCAAGGUGGAGACCAGCCGCCAACUUAAAGACUGAGGAAAUGACAGCUUGCUGCUUGAUCAGGGUUAUUGCCUACAUGAGGGGUUGGUGACAGAUGUAUCUGGAGCAAUGGCAGAAUGAUUAUUAGCUGAGAUAAGGUGGGGUGUUUCUGACUAAAACCUUCUUCAGUGUGCCACUUUGCCCAAUAUGAAUUUCACAUGAAGUCAGCUGAAAUUAAAGCCAAGCCUUUGCAAUGAGAAUGCAGCAUCUAAGUGCCUGAGACAUACCAAAUUGCUUAGCAGUGUGUCAAUGCAGAAGGAGAAGAGUUUCAGAGGACAAACAGCAAUAGUGUGUGGUUUAGUUGUUGACUGCUUCUACAACACAGCAAGCAAGUCGACCUCCGGCAUUCCCAGUCUUGAGAGAUUCUUCGUUGCCACCUUU
This is a long non-coding RNA of Cryptotermes secundus, 793 nucleotides long. RefSeq lists it as uncharacterized. NCBI's taxonomy places the organism in Eukaryota, Metazoa, Arthropoda, Insecta, Blattodea, Kalotermitidae. The record is from RefSeq and is a predicted model, not a curated record. The transcript has 3 exons.